UACGAAGGGGGCUAGCGUUGUUCGGAUUCACUGGGCGUAAAGGGUGCGCAGGCGGCCGUGUGUGUUGGGCGUGAAAGCCCGGGGCUUAACCCCGGAAUUGCACCCAAAAACUACACGGCUAGAGCAUUGGAGAGGGUAGCGGAAUUCACGGUGUAGCAGUGAAAUGCGUAGAUAUCGGGAGGAACACCAGUGGCGAAGGCGGCCUUCUGGACCAGUACUGACGCUCAUGCACGAAAGCGUGGGGAGCAAACAGG
This 254-nucleotide ribosomal RNA is filed under the name uncultured bacterium. RNAcentral describes it as "partial 16S ribosomal RNA". It matches the Rfam family "Bacterial small subunit ribosomal RNA", at positions 524 to 776 of the family's 1533-position model. The record is from RNAcentral.